AAGCAGUAACAACGGCCACCGUAGAGUUUUGAACAUGGCUCAGGACGAACGCUGGCGGCGUGCCUAAUACAUGCAAGUCGAGCGGACAGAUGGGAGCUUGCUCCCUGAUGUUAGCGGCGGACGGGUGAGUAACACGUGGGUAACCUGCCUGUAAGACUGGGAUAACUCCGGGAAACCGGGGCUAAUACCGGAUGCUUGUUUGAACCGCAUGGUUCAAACAUAAAAGGUGGCUUCGGCUACCACUUACAGAUGGACCCGCGGCGCAUUAGCUAGUUGGUGAGGUAAUGGCUCACCAAGGCGACGAUGCGUAGCCGACCUGAGAGGGUGAUCGGCCACACUGGGACUGAGACACGGCCCAGACUCCUACGGGAGGCAGCAGUAGGGAAUCUUCCGCAAUGGACGAAAGUCUGACGGAGCAACGCCGCGUGAGUGAUGAAGGUUUUCGGAUCGUAAAGCUCUGUUGUUAGGGAAGAACAAGUACCGUUCGAAUAGGGCGGUACCUUGACGGUACCUAACCAGAAAGCCACGGCUAACUACGUGCCAGCAGCCGCGGUAAUACGUAGGUGGCAAGCGUUGUCCGGAAUUAUUGGGCGUAAAGGGCUCGCAGGCGGUUUCUUAAGUCUGAUGUGAAAGCCCCCGGCUCAACCGGGGAGGGUCAUUGGAAACUGGGGAACUUGAGUGCAGAAGAGGAGAGUGGAAUUCCACGUGUAGCGGUGAAAUGCGUAGAGAUGUGGAGGAACACCAGUGGCGAAGGCGACUCUCUGGUCUUUAUCUGCCACCGAGGUGGGAGGGACGGCCC
RNAcentral lists this ribosomal RNA (799 nucleotides) under Bacillus subtilis. RNAcentral's name for it is "bacterial SSU rRNA". It matches the Rfam family "Bacterial small subunit ribosomal RNA", at positions 1 to 766 of the family's 1533-position model. Lineage: Bacteria; Bacillati; Bacillota; Bacilli; Caryophanales; Bacillaceae. The record is from RNAcentral.